AUACUUACCUGGCAGGGGAGAUACCAUGAUCAGGAAGGUGGUUUUCCCAGGACAAGGCUUAUCCAUUGCACUCGUGAUGUGCUGACCCCUGCGAUUUCCCCAAAUGCAGGAAACUGCAUAAUUUGUGGUGGUGGUGGGGACUGAAUUCGCGCUCUCCCCUG
Molecule: small nuclear RNA, 161 nt
Organism: Mesocricetus auratus (golden hamster)
Lineage: Eukaryota; Metazoa; Chordata; Mammalia; Rodentia; Cricetidae
Gene: U1
Rfam family: U1 spliceosomal RNA
About the family: U1 is a small nuclear RNA (snRNA) component of the spliceosome (involved in pre-mRNA splicing). Its 5' end forms complementary base pairs with the 5' splice junction, thus defining the 5' donor site of an intron. There are significant differences in sequence and secondary structure between metazoan and yeast U1 snRNAs, the latter being much longer (568 nucleotides as compared to 164 nucleotides in human).
Source: Ensembl